Molecule: ribosomal RNA, 465 nt
Filed under: uncultured bacterium
Lineage: Bacteria
Description: partial 16S ribosomal RNA
Rfam family: Bacterial small subunit ribosomal RNA
Source: RNAcentral
CCUACGGGAGGCAGCAGUAGGGAAUCUUCCACAAUGGGCGAAAGCCUGAAGGAGCAACGCCGCGUGGGUGAAGAAGGUCCUCGGAUCGUAAAACCCCGUUGAUAGAGAAGAAAGUGCGUGAGAGUAACUGUUCACGUAUCGACGGUAUCUAACCAGAACGCCACGGCUAACUACGUGCCAGCAGCCGAGGUAAUACGUAGGUGGCAAGCGUUAUCCGGAUUUAUUGGGCGUAAAGGGAGCGCAGGGGGUCUUUUAAGUCUGAUGUGAAAGCCUUCGGCUUAACCGGAGUAGUGCAUUGGAGACUGGGAGACUUGAGUGCAGAUGAGGAGAGUGGAACUCCAUGUGUAGCGGUGAAAUGCGUAGAUAUAUGGAAGAACACCAGUUGCGAAGGCAGCUCUCUGGUCUGUGACUGACGCUGAGGUUCGAAAGCGUGGGUAGCAAACAGGAUUAGAUACCCUAGUAGUC